Molecule: long non-coding RNA, 344 nt
Organism: Protopterus annectens (West African lungfish)
Lineage: Eukaryota; Metazoa; Chordata; Ceratodontiformes; Protopteridae
Exons: 2
Source: RefSeq, a predicted model, not a curated record
CAUACAGGCAUUAGCUGCAUGGAAAUCAUACUACUCAUACUAUUGGAUUGGAAUUGAGUAUAAUGCAGGAAAAGGAUGGAUAUGGGAUGAUGCAACUAUUUUUCAUCUCAGCAUAAGCAAACCAUAUAAUGUACAUGGUGGAAAUUGUGCUGUCAUCUCGUCUUCUACUUAUUAUGUGCGAUGUGGAGAAUCUAUGAAAUGGAUUUGUGAAAAGCCGAGCACUUGGAUACACAUUUAAAUGAUUCUAUCAAGAAUAAAGAAGCCAUUUUAUGUUUAUAAACAUAAUUGUAAAUGACCUAUUGAAACGGUAUAAUAAAAUGUGAACAUAGUUCUGAUUAUUUAAA